Non-coding RNA from Capsicum annuum, 191 nucleotides. Lineage: Eukaryota; Viridiplantae; Streptophyta; Magnoliopsida; Solanales; Solanaceae. The record is from Rfam.
AAGGCAGGCCUUUUGGCUAAGAUCAAGUGCAGUAUCUGUUCUUAUUAGUUUAAUAUCUGAUAUGUGGGCCAUUGGCUCACACAAUUUUAACACAAUUCUUUGAGGGGGAAGGUCUAUCAGAGUAGCUUGCUACUCGGGCUUUCAUGUGUUGCCUAGGUGUUGCACUACAGCCUUGGCUUGGCGCAACCCAC